AGGGCUUUGUGGAUUGAUUCCAUGAAA
Molecule: small RNA, 27 nt
Filed under: Bombyx mori (domestic silkworm)
Lineage: Eukaryota; Metazoa; Arthropoda; Insecta; Lepidoptera; Bombycidae
Description: ovarian small RNA-12221
Source: RNAcentral